Molecule: long non-coding RNA, 409 nt
Organism: Suricata suricatta (meerkat)
Lineage: Eukaryota; Metazoa; Chordata; Mammalia; Carnivora; Herpestidae
Exons: 2
Source: RefSeq, a predicted model, not a curated record
GGUGCGCGGGGCCCUGGGAGGCCUCGGCGACGCUGCUCAGCAGGGCCAGAGCGGCCAGGAUUGGCCACAGGGCAGACUGCGCGGAGAGAAAAGUGCAGCCUCAGGAAGGAAGCGGGCACCGAGGUGGCAUCACUGGGAGAACUACUCACCUGCUGCCUAGGCUGGGGCCAGCGGGGCAGCACAGAAGGGCCUCCAUAUCCGGGCUCCAUCUCUGUCAAUACCAGGAGCUCCCAUCAGCUGUAGUUGACCUGUUCCCACCCCCACCGCCAGCCCCCUUCUCUUCAGGCAGCUCAGAACAUUGAGAGCAGGCCACUGCUCUCCUUCAGUGUCUCCAGGCCAGGAACAAGGGGCUUGGAAGACUGGACCCAACCCAGGCGGAGAAGUAACUACAUGAGAACCUAACUAUGUG